RNAcentral lists this long non-coding RNA (2301 nucleotides) under Oncorhynchus kisutch (coho salmon). Its description in RNAcentral is "lncRNA (ENSOKIG00005022461.1)". Lineage: Eukaryota; Metazoa; Chordata; Actinopteri; Salmoniformes; Salmonidae. The record is from RNAcentral.
GGGCAAAAUUGGGAGAAUGUUGCCCAAAACAACGGGCCAAUAUAUACAUUUAUUUUAUUUGUAUUAUUUAACCUUUAUUUAACUAGGCAAGUCAGUUAAGAACAAAUUCUUAUUUACAAUUGACGGCCUACCCCGGCCAAACCGGGACAACGCUGGGCCACUUCUGCGCCGCCCUAUGGGGCUCCCAAUCACGGCCGGAUGUGAUACAACCUGGAUGGAGGUAAGCGUUACACUUCUGACAGGUCUCAUGAUUGUAUUACUUUAUCUGAAAGUGAGAGAGUAAAUCCUAGCUGUUGUUAUUCUUUUACCAGGGUUAGACCAUCCCCCAUAUGCCAUUAACAAUUACGGGAAUCUCUAUAUGGCCAAUGGAAAUGGUGUCCCCCUGUGAAUGACCAACAAUGGAGCAAGGUUUGACUUCAGCUUUACUGUUCAACAUUCAUGGUGUGCUGAAUGUUUUAUUGCUGAACAACCAGAAUUAUUUGUCCUCUAAUCUGUCACACGUUCCUCAACAGUAAGCAAGACAUGCCAGCAGAGCUCACUGGAGCAGGAAGACUUCCCGUCCUCCUCUCGGCGCCUGACAAGAAGCCAACAUUGCUGCACAGAGGGAGGUAACCUCAACAUCCAUCAGAGGGAGGGGAUCUUCCCAACAAGCAGCGUUUCUGAACAGAGGGAAGAGAUCCUCACGAAAGCUGGUUUCCCUGUGAAGAAUAGAGACAAUCCUCCACAACCACCUCCCAUCAUCCCCAUGGUGGGACGAAAGUGGGAAUGGGAUGGUGGAGUGUGUACUAUUCCAAGAGAAGAGGUCAUUUAAGCCUUAUCUUAUAAGAAAUUAAUUUGCCAUUGCAAGAGUGUGAUAAUUAGUUGUGAUAGAUCAAAUGCCUGCUACUCGUGUGAGUGUAUGGCUGUUAUAUUUUCAUGCGUUCUCUAGCUACAUAAAAUAGGUUUAGCUCUAAGAAUCUUUGUGACUGCCGGCAGCCUGGUUGAGAGUAUCAGAGCGAGACGCUCCUAACCUGUCAGCUAGUGAUUGUUCUGUAUGGUGACAUGAGCAGAGUGGCCUGACUUCUCCUUCUUAUUAAAGAUGUCCGGAGUAGACGUUGCGCAUCCUGCUAUGAUGUCCAUCACCAAGCCAGAACACUCCGAGGCCAACCCUCGAAGCCAGACUGGCAGCCAGGCCAGUGACUGAGCCUGAGACCCCUGCUGCAAAGAACACACCAAACAAUGGUGGCUGGCUCAGCUGGUUCUCUGUAGGGGAAAAGAGGUUCAUCCGAAGGAGGCUCAUCUACCCGAGGACAAUGACAAAUCGGUAAAGAACCUGUUAUUUAUAUUCUAUAUAUAGACACUAGUGGAUUAGUGUUUUUCUCUGUGGCUUGAUGCAUAGUGUUAUUAUUUUCAUCCUCAGAUUAUCUGGGAUCCAACCCUGCACAGAUGGGUUGACAAAAUUGAGCCCAAUGCUGAGGUAUACACUUACAUUAAAUUCAAUUUAAAGCAGUGAAUGAUCAUUGUAUUUCAACUGUGAGAAUAUUACUAAUAAUUGUAAAAUAAGUUGACGUGUUUUACAGAACAAGCCAGUGCCACCACCUCCCCCAAUGGGAAUGAAUGGACAUCUGGGGAACUCUGGCAGUCUCCCCAAAGGAGAGCAGGUGAAUGUUAAUUUAGACUACAUUAGGUUUAACUCCAAGACUGUACCAGCCAAUCAUUGCUCUUUGUGGUGAUCUCCUGCUAACAUUUUCCCCACUAACUGCAAGUCUAUGGGGCAAUUAUGGACCACCACAAAGCCUCUACCCUCAUUGUGCCUAUGGCGUUGCCAUUUGAGUCUGCUCAAGAUUGCUGGCAGAAUCCUGCCCCUGGUAUUCUAUCCUAUAGAGGUAUGAUUCUGAACAAUCCUUCCAAAAAUAAUCAAUUUCAUUAACUAUGCCUUUACUUUACAGUAACAUACAGUAGCAUAUGGCUGAAGUAACAGUGAUGUUAACAUUUUGGAUUUUUCUCCCACAGGCAAUUUUCCCAGAGUGGAGUUCCUUAUAAGGGGAUUUUUCAGCAUUUUCAAAGAAUAAGACAAAUAUUUAGCAAAGAAAAAUAUUAUUUGGCAAUUGCCAAAUUAGUUCUUAAUUAUUAAAAGACUCAAGCAUUUCCCUCUCUCCGUCAUUUCAUCAUGUUCACAUAGCUUUGAUAUGUUCAUCACUUACAAGCCCAUUGAUAAUGAAAUGAAUCAUCUGUGUAGCUCCAGUUAUGCCUUAAUGCCAAACAAAUAGGGAAAAUAGAGCCAUCUAAUUUCAUUAUUAAUAUUUCCUAUGCAUUCUUUUG